RNAcentral lists this non-coding RNA (30 nucleotides) under Rattus norvegicus (Norway rat). Lineage: Eukaryota; Metazoa; Chordata; Mammalia; Rodentia; Muridae. The record is from RNAcentral.
CAGGAACCAUACAUUUUGUUGAGCCUCCUG